Molecule: long non-coding RNA, 166 nt
Organism: Neogale vison (American mink)
Lineage: Eukaryota; Metazoa; Chordata; Mammalia; Carnivora; Mustelidae
Exons: 3
Source: RefSeq, a predicted model, not a curated record
AGGUGACUGCUUAGCUGCCAGUGAGUCUUCUCAACAUCCAGACCAUGCAGGGACAGCUGUGUUCCAUAAAAGCCUGUCUGGGGAGUGCAGCAUGGACUGACAAAGACAUUCAUCAUACAACAAAUACCAAUAGAGAAGAGAGAGAGACAGCUUGAGCAGAAGUGGG